UAUAAUAAAAAAUGUAAUAAUUUAAUUGUCUUUUAAUUAAUUUACUUUAUUUUUAUUUUUUUUUAAAAAACUGAAAAGGAAAUUAUUAUUAUAAUUUAAUAGAAAAAUUAAUGUACCUUUUGCAUUAGGGGUUUUUAAAAAAAAAUAAAAAUUUAUUUUUCUCGAAAUAUUUUGAGCUAAAAUUUAAUUUUUCUAAUAUUUCAAUAUUAAAUUAAAAUAAAUUUUAGAGGUGAAAUUCUUAUCAAAAAAUAUAAUAUCUAGUUAAAAAAUUUAAUUAAAUAUUAUUUUGUAAUAUUAUUUUAUUUUUUAAAAUUACAAAAAAAAAUUUUUGGGAUAAGCUAAAAAUUAUUAAAUUUAUGAUAUUUUAAAAAUUAAUAAAAGAAUUAAAAUUUUUCUAUUUAUUUUUAUAAAUAAAUUAAAUUAAAUUAAAAAAAAAUUUUUUUUUUAAAAUUAAAUUUAAUUUAAAAUUUAAAAAAAAAUGAAAAUAUUAGUAAAAAAUUUUUUAUUUAUAAUUUUUAAAUAUUAAUUAAAAGUUAAUUAAAUUUAAUUUUAAAGAACUAGGCAAUUAUUUUUUUUGACUGUUUAAUAAAAACAACGCAUUUAGAUAAACAAUAAAUGCAAAUCCUGCUCAAUGAAAAUUUUUUUAAAUUGCUGUAGUAUUUUGACUAUACAAAGGUAUUGAAAUAAGAUUUUAAUUGAAUGCUAAGAGAAUGGAAUAUCAAAGAAUAACUUUCUUAAAAUUAAAAAUUGAAAUUUUUUUAAUUUGUGUAAAAACAAUUAUAAAAAUUAAAGACAAGAAGACCCUAAGAAUUUUUAAAAUUUAAAUUAAUACAUUUUUGUUUUAAUUAAAUUUUAACUGGGGCGGUUAAAAAAUAUUAAAAACUUUUUAAUUUUGAAAAAUGGUCCAUUAUUAAUGAAAAUAUGAUAAAAUACUCUAGGGAUAACAGCGUUAUAUUUUUUGAUAGAUCAUAUUGACAAAAAAGUUUGCGACCUCGAUGUUGGAUUAGGAUACUUUUUUAAUGAAGAUAUUAAAAUAAGAAGUUUGUUCAACUUUUAAAUUCCUACAUGAUCUGAGUUUAGACCGAUGAGAAUCAGGUUGGAUUCUAUCUUAAUAAAAAACAAAUUUUAUUUAGUACGAAAGGAAUUUUAAAAUCUAAUUUUUUAGUUUUAUUCAUUUUAUUUGCAUCAAUUUUUGUAAUU
This 1200-nucleotide ribosomal RNA is filed under the name Rhipicephalus annulatus. Its description in RNAcentral is "16S ribosomal RNA". The stretch from base 940 to 1098 matches the Rfam family "Archaeal large subunit ribosomal RNA", at positions 2544 to 2703 of the family's 2987-position model. The record is from RNAcentral. Lineage: Eukaryota; Metazoa; Arthropoda; Arachnida; Ixodida; Ixodidae.